Molecule: transfer RNA, 64 nt
Filed under: Streptomyces smyrnaeus
Lineage: Bacteria; Bacillati; Actinomycetota; Actinomycetes; Kitasatosporales; Streptomycetaceae
Also listed under: 3 other names
Description: tRNA-Ser
Source: RNAcentral
GCGCAGGCGGGGGAUACUUCCACUGAUAAUGGGGUUGUUGCGGGUUCGAGUCCCGUCGGACGCC